CAACGAAGCAACAAGGGUUUUCUUCGAAACACUAGCGCCGUCAGGAGGCGGUUGCCUCUCUCUUCCGCCAUCCAUGCCUUUUUCAGCAAAAAACCAGGUGUACAACACCUUUUGUAGUCUCAGUACAGCCAGGAGAGGCAAACAUUAUACAAACACGGUAUAUCUCGCCUCCUUUUCUGUUUUUUUUCUGAGGAAUUUAGGGCCAACGAGUACAAAUCCCUUAAUGGGAUUUGGCCCAAACGAUUCUGAACUCUUGGUUCCUAUUGGUUGAUCAAAACCUACGAGAUUCACCAAGAACCCUUCAAAUCUGACCCUUCAUUUAGUUUUUGUUUAAAUCGUGACCAUCGAGUGUUGAUAGGAUGGAAUUAUUCCCAGAAUUUAUUUAGUCCCACAUCGACUGAGUUGAGGUUUCAUCUAAAUUUGGGGUUCUACAUAAAGAACCCCCAAUUCACAGCACACACAGGGACAAGCCUCGUAUUCACUGAGCAAAAAACUCAAUUUAACUAGGGUUAGCUAAAAUUGCUUAAAACCUUAACCUAAUCGAGUCUUUAGUCUAAAAUUUUAUUCUUUCUUUCUUGGCUGAGUUUUUCUGGUGUUGGGAAGCAAAGGAGCAUCCCAGUUCCAUUUUAGCAUAACUCUAUGUUAAUUAGUUAUUAGCCUGCUUGCAGUCGUUCAUAUAUGUUGGUUAGUUUAGUCAUGUGUGUAGUUUAGUCCAGUUGUUCGUAUGUUAAGUUAUUUUAUAAUCUUCUGUUGUUUAGUGGAAAAUAAUGUUUAAGUGCUUAUAUGUUAUUUUUCUGUCAUCAUUUAAGUUUAGUUUCGCUUAGUUAAUAGCAUUCUUAGCUUCUUCUUUUUUCUUUUGUUUAAAUUCUAGUUAAUUCAAAAGUUAUAAGUAGGAUAGCUUUGUAGUUCAUUUCUGUUUCUUGUUCUUGCUUAAGCAUGUGUUAAUUCUGGUUUAGUUUAGUAAUAAUAUGCAUAUGAGGGGUGGAUAAGUCCAUUCCAUUUGCUUGAAUGCCACUAUGUGCAUGACUUGACUACCCCAUACCAUUAACCCCUUUACAUGCCCCUCUAAGCUUAGACACUUAUGUAUUUUCAUGCCUGUUAAUUUGGUUGAAGUUUCUGGCCAUUACUUCUCUGUGAGUAUAACAUCCAUGAUUUGAUUGAGGGUCUGAAUAUGUAUGUUUGUUGACUAUGGUAUCUGUCUAAUCAUAUGAUUGUUUGUGUUCAAAGAUAUGUGGUUAAAGAGUCUACACUAGUCCAACCUCAGUUAUGCAAUAGAGUGGUUUGUGGCAUGAUUAUGAACAUGAUAGGUGCUUAGUGUAGAGUAUUUCUGUUUAUAGUACCCUGCUUACAUGGCUUGAAUGGUAAUGCUAAGUCACAACUGAUUAACCCCCAUGUCUGUCCAUUUUCCUUUAAAAGAUUUAAGUGACUGAUGGUAUGGUGUCUCCCUAUCCUUUUGUUUUCCCUAUGCCUCUUUUGGUGAAAGUGUUGACUAAAACUAUGCUGGCAUGAGCUUUCAAAGUUUUCUUUUAUGAGACUUAUUCUAUAAUAGAAUAAACACUGCUGGUUUGAAGUUUUGAGCUGUAAAAUGUCCAUGUAUGCUACUGAAUGUUGACAUAAGUCAUGUUAAGGGUUAUGUUAUAUGUGUGAGACUACCACUGUGUGCCAUUACUAUACUAGGAGCCCGUUUGGAUUGGCUUAUAAGUUGGCUUAUAAGCUGUUUUCAGUUUUUUUGAGUGUUUGGCUGGCCAGCUUAAAGUCAUUUUAUGCUUAAAAUAAGCUCAAAAAAAUAAUUGGACCCAUUUGACUUAGUUUAUCUAAAGCAGCUUAUAAGCUGAAAACAGCUUAUAAGCCAAAAAAAAUAAGUUGGACUACCCCAACUUAUUUUUUUCAGCUUAUAAGCUGCAAACAGCUUUAAGCUGUAAGCCAAUCCAAACGGGCUCUAGAGGCAUUUUGAGAUUCCUUUUAAUCAAAUGAAUGAGUUAGAUGUUUGUCAAAUGCAUUGCUACUAUGUGUGUAUCUGGUAUAUUGACUUAGAUCUAAUGUGAUGCUCCUUUGCUCUACUCUCCUUUUUUUUUAUAUGUUGCCACUACACAACAUACAUAUGGUAUAUCAGAUAUAUACAGUCUAUAUAUGCUUCGGUGUAUAUAGGAUGGUAUAUUUUGUAUACCGAUAGGAUAUUAUCAUGACUCGACUUAAGAACAUUGUUGAUUGAACUGUUUGGGCCUGCCUCCUUUAUUUGUUUUCCCUUUAUUACGAAAUCGGGCUUUCACCUUAUGACCAUCUUCAUUUUAUCCACUUUGGGCCUUUCCUCCAGCAUGUUAUCUUAUUUGGGCUCGUUCCUUUGAUUUUUUGGUUUUAAUCGCAAUUGGAUUUUUACUCUGGUCCGUUUAUUUUGCUAAGUGUAUUAAGUAUACUUGAUAUACAUAUACAUUCCCGAAUAUAUGAUCGUGCUUUCCCUUAAGUUUUCUGUUAUUAAUUUACCAAGUCUAGGUGCUUUCUAACAGCAUUUCUCCUUUUCCCCUCUUUGUUUUGCAUGAGAAUCCAUAUGGGCCACUUGGGGCAUUUUCUCGCAUGAAAUCAGUGUUGGGCCAAAGGCCCAACAACACAUAUUCUAUCAAAUCCGCACGAAUGAAGAUGAUUGAAGGCCCAACCAUGGGUGAAAAUGACAACUAGUGAGCUUCGGUAGGCCCACUAGCCUAAACUCUACCUUUUAUAUAUAUGCAUAUGAAAUUGUAUAUAUAUUCGUAUAUGUACGAAUACCAUGUGAUUAUUGAAACCUCACGGUUAGAAUUUAGGAAAUUCGUGUAGAAAAGUUUAGGAUUUUUCUCAAAUGAUUUUCUCAAAGUUGAA
Lycium barbarum (goji berry) is the source of this 2850-nucleotide long non-coding RNA. RefSeq lists it as uncharacterized. The record is from RefSeq and is a predicted model, not a curated record. Lineage: Eukaryota; Viridiplantae; Streptophyta; Magnoliopsida; Solanales; Solanaceae. The transcript is spliced from 2 exons.